GAUGAAGAACGCAGCGAAAUGCGAUAAGUAGUGUGAAUUGCAGAAUUCAGUGAAUCAUCGAAUCUUUGAACGCACAUUGCGCCCCUUGGUAUUCCAUGGGGCAUGCCUGUUCGAGCGUCAUCUACACCCUCAAGCUCUGCUUGGUGUUGGCGUCUGUCCCGCCUGCGGGCGGCGGACUCGCCCCGAAUGCAUUGGCAGCGUCCCUUGCCCCCUCUCGCGCAGCACAUUGCGCUUCUCGAGGGCGGCUCCGGGGCGCGACCCACCGAAGAUGACCACCGUCUUUGACCUCGGAUCAGGUAGGGAUACCCGCUGAACUUAAGCAUAUCAAUAAGCGGAGGA
This 339-nucleotide unclassified non-coding RNA is filed under the name soil metagenome. Its description in RNAcentral is "partial contains 5.8S ribosomal RNA, internal transcribed spacer 2, and large subunit ribosomal RNA". The stretch from base 1 to 120 matches the Rfam family "5.8S ribosomal RNA", at positions 35 to 154 of the family's 154-position model. The record is from RNAcentral.